UUGCUGGUUAAAUUACUGAGGUGAUCAGGUCGCGUGAUUGCUACAGCGCGGCUGUUUUUCUUUCCUUUGCUCCAGCCGUGGUGAGGAGACGCGUGAGUGCAUCCGCCGUGCAGUACGGCGCCUCCAAGUUCUGGGGGUUUGAUUGCUGCCGUGCCCUCUCGGGGACCAACCGCCUGCUUUGGCUACGUAGAGAGUCGGGCACCUGCCCUGCUGCUGUCUUGUUUUGUUGACUUUGUUACAUUACAGUUAAUCUGCGGCGGCCCAGUUUUCCCUUGUAGCUUGCUUUCCCACGCCCUUUUGGACUAUUGUUCGCUCCAGCUUUUGUGGCUGGCCGGGGCGAUUCUCGGCCGUAUACUGGGCCGGUUAUACGAACUGGUACUGCCUUUCCCCUUCCUCCCAGCUGUGGGAAGUUGUGUGAGACCGAGCAGACCAAGGAUAAUCGGACCCAGCACCAGCUGUGGGCUGGUUCGCCGAGUGAAACGAACUGAGGAUCUACCAGCUUCCGUGGGACCUUAGGUGGCGGGUCGUUUUCCACACUUCUUUUGUUGUACAGCACCAGGUGAAUAGACUAUAGUAGGUUUUUUUUUGUGUGGUUUUCUUUUGGUCCACCGCUGCUGGUAAGUCCCAGUUGUAUUUAUUUUUAUUGUAAUUUGGGACACCGUUUUAGAUAUUCAGUGCGCUGUUGUUUUGUUUUUCAUUUUACAUUAAUAAAUAAAAUUGUGUUUAUAUUUGA
Molecule: long non-coding RNA, 733 nt
Organism: Oreochromis niloticus (Nile tilapia)
Lineage: Eukaryota; Metazoa; Chordata; Actinopteri; Cichliformes; Cichlidae
Exons: 2
Source: RefSeq, a predicted model, not a curated record